AGGCGGAGACACAAGGCUCCGUUCCACUGGGCACGCCAGCGGGUAGGGGUGGGGGCGGGGAGGUGCGCGCGCAGCGUGGGAGGAGGCCAACUCUCGGGGCGCUCCCUAGCCCUGGGUGGGUGGAGCGGGGGAAGCGGAGUACGUUGGACCCGGCUCCGCCCUACCCCACGGGGCCGCCUGGAGAGGUGCUGGGAGCUGGGUGGAGCUUAGAGGAAUUAAACUUUGGCCCUGCGCCUCGUCCAGCCUAGGUUCCACCCUUUUCUGGGAACUUUACACCCCGCCACUCCUGAGCACCGCACACCGGCUUCCUCCCAGUCCCUCAUCUGAGAACUCAUGAAGCCACUUGGAAUCCCUCUCUGCUUUGCCUGGCUCAUUCCAUGUCAAUUUCAGAUCUUCACUUCAGGUCAGCUCCAAGGAGGCUAUCCUUGCCCAUCUUCCUAAAAUAGAGCUCUCAAAACCUGGCUGUUUUCCUUCAGAGCACUGGCCUCCAAUUGCUCCGGUAGAUUGCAAAUGACCUGCUUUCUUUCUGUUCCCGGGCGUUUGGACCCCUGUCUUGGACCGCUGUCGGAUAGUAAAUCCCAAGUAAGGUACCUGCCGUCGGCAGAUUUGAGCUUUCUUCUUGGACACCUAAUACCCAGAGUCCUCCAGGCUCCGGUAGAUUGCAAAUGACCUGCUUUCUUUCUGUUCCCGGGCGGCAUCGGACCCGUCGGAGAGUAAAUCCCAAGUAAGGUACCUGCCGUUGGCAGAUUUGAGCUUUCUUCUUGGACACCUAAUACCCACAGUCCUCCAGGCUCCGGUAGAUUGCAAAUGACCUGCUUUCUUUCUGUUCCCGGGUGGCAUCGACCCGUCGGAGAGUAAAUCCCAAGUAAGGUACCUGCCGUUGGCAGAUUUGAGCUUUCUUCUUGGACACCUAAUACCCACAGUCCUCCAGUAAAUCCCAAGCAAGGUACCUGCCGUCAGCAGAUUUGAGCUUUCUUCUUGGACACCUAAUACCCACAGUCCUCCAGGCUCCGGUAGAUUGCAAAUGACCUGCUUUCUUUCUGUUCCCGGGCUGCGUUCGGACCCCUGUCGGAUAGUAACUCCCAAGCUCCGGUAGAUUGCAAAUGACCUGCUUUCUUUCUGUUCCCGGGCUGCGUUCGGACCCCUGUCGGAGAGUAAAUCCGAAAAAAACAAACAAAGACAUGGAUUUACUGUGCAUAUUAGCAGAUCCAUACUGGAAAAUGCAUGGAGGUUUCAUAUACACCACUUACAGGUUUCCAAAGCCACAAUUUCCUUCAUAUGUUCAAACUCUUCAGGAUGCAGAAAGGCAGUGAACUCCUCCGGAGUAGCUGUCAGGUCACCAUUGAGGUCUGCAGCUUUGAAUCUUCUCUCAUCACGUGGCAGCAUCUUUUUAAAGGUGUGAUGAUCUGAAGAAUCAUGAAACUCUGCGGGGUUUCCUAGGUUUUCAGCUCCUCAGUAGUGACAAAGCCAUACCCAUCAUUGUCGAUUCGAUCAACAAUCUUCCCUAGCCUCUCCUUGCUCUCGUCCGGGGUGAGCUCGUCGAAGUUCUUGGAGUCCUCCUUGCCCAGGAAGGCCUCGUGGUCGUACUGGAAGCUCUGGUUGUCCUCAGGGGGCCGCUCGCCCAGCUCCGAGUCGGGCCGCACCACGCGCUCUUUGCGCACCGUGGGCUUGGCCCGCAGAACCCGCGGCGCCAGCACCAGCGCCAGCAGCAGCCCCAGGGCUAACCCCAGGCGGCCACCGCGCGCCAUCGUCCCGAGGAGAGGGCGGCCGGGAGGGAGACGCUGAGCGAGCGACAACAGCGGCAGCUCGGGAAUGGGGGCUCGGAGCGCGGCGGCCAAGUUUUAUGUUAUGUAUAUUUUACAAGUAAAAAAAUUUUUUCACCUCAGCCUGA
RNAcentral lists this long non-coding RNA (1891 nucleotides) under Homo sapiens (human). RNAcentral describes it as "HSALNT0373074". The record is from RNAcentral. Lineage: Eukaryota; Metazoa; Chordata; Mammalia; Primates; Hominidae.